Molecule: ribosomal RNA, 209 nt
Filed under: uncultured bacterium
Lineage: Bacteria
Description: partial 16S ribosomal RNA
Rfam family: Bacterial small subunit ribosomal RNA
Source: RNAcentral
CACGUAGGUGGCAUGGUAAGUCAAAAGGUGAAAGCCCUCGGCUCAACCGAGGAAUUGCCUUUGAAACUGCUUUGCUUGAGUCCGGGAGGGGGGGAGCGGAAUUCCUAGUGUAGCGGUGAAAUGCGUAGAUACUAGGAGGAACACCGGUGGCGAAGGCGGCUCCCUGGACCGGUACUGACACUGAGGUGCGAAAGCGUGGGUAGCAAACA